AGGCCUUCUUCCUGGCUGUUUACUGAAAAUAGUCUCUUCCUGGCUGCCUUCUUCAGUUCCAGAUGUAGAACUCUCAGCUCCUUCUCCAGCACCAUGUCUGCCUGCACGAUGCCAUGAUUCCCGCCAUGAUGAUAAUAGACUGAACCUCUGAAACUGCCUCCCUGGGAUGGGUCCAGCUCCGGCAUCAGUCCUACCUUUAACAGUGAAAUGACUUUGGAAGAAUGUGGAAAAGACAAAAGCAGCAGUAGAGACUCAAUGAUGACUCAGCAAGUGUCUACUCCAGCCCUGGGAGAAAGCAGCCCAGAUUGUUCUACACUGUGGAUCCUGGAUUCUCAUUCUACUCGUAACGAGCCUGAGUCGUGACAAGCUCACUUUGUUCACUUCUGCUCCUACAGUUAAUACAGCUCAUGGUAGCAAAUCAGGA
Long non-coding RNA from Mastomys coucha (southern multimammate mouse), 424 nucleotides. RefSeq lists it as uncharacterized. The transcript has 2 exons. NCBI's taxonomy places the organism in Eukaryota, Metazoa, Chordata, Mammalia, Rodentia, Muridae. The record is from RefSeq and is a predicted model, not a curated record.